RNAcentral lists this long non-coding RNA (526 nucleotides) under Fukomys damarensis (Damara mole-rat). Its description in RNAcentral is "lncRNA (ENSFDAG00000029677.1)". The record is from RNAcentral. Lineage: Eukaryota; Metazoa; Chordata; Mammalia; Rodentia; Bathyergidae.
CUGGGCUACCUUUGCAGGAGGUGUUGCUGUAGGAAGAAGCGGUGGCUGUCAGGGCAGCUGAGCCUCAGCCUCAAGGGAGCGGACCCAGGGAGGUGAGAGAGCAGAUGAUGCCAAAGCAUUUUAUAUUUGUAAAAUUCCAUCUGAUACCCUGAACGAGCUCCUUCAGUACAACCCUCUGAGGAGUUUGCAUGUAAUAAACAGAAGACAACCCGUAUGCCCCCUGCACUUUAUGGGCGGACAAGACAAAUGGUCCGGUCUCAGAUGACAACCUAGAUUUAUAAUUUCACACCUGAAACGCUUGUUCGAUUACCAAGGAGGGGGACUGGAAAUUGUUCUCCUCCUCAGACCAUUUUCAGAAAAAGAAGCAGUUGAGAAAAUUACUUGUAGGGUCCUUUCUCUGGAAAGUAUCAUUGUUUUGGGUUUGUUUGUUUGUUUUUUCCUUGUGGCCGACUUAGGCUUAUAGUCUCUGUAGCUAUCUCUCUCUGUCUGUUGCCUCUCUCCAGAAGGAAAAAUAAACAAAACUCGG